CACAGAUUUAAUCCAGCUCAGCCAGGACAGGCAACCCACCCUAGGGACUGGCCCUACCCAACAGCAAGCCCUUGGUCAACUUGUGGGCCUGCACAGGAGAGGUGUGUGGAAACCUCUGCCUCGGUGUGAGUGAGUCUGCCUCUGCAGCAAAGGUGUGUAAGCACAAAACAAGAUGGUGUCCACCUACAAGCCAAGAGAAGAGUCCUCAGAAUGAAAGCUACCCUACCUGCACAUUUGUCUUGGACUUCCCGACCUCCAGAAUGGAUAACGUGGAAUGGGGAAUCUGGUGGAGAAUAAACUGAAGUUGGGCAAGGUAGAAGCAGGGAGACCAGUCAGAAGGCUGUGACAAUAACCCAGAUAAGAAAACUGACAUAUAGAAGAGUGAAAUGAGACAAAGAUUCCCAACAAAACUGGAAUAAAAAGAAAAUUGAAAAUAGAUACAAACCACUAUUGCUAAGGUAUGCCAAGAUCAUCUUAUCCUUUAACAAAACAGAAAAUUUUCAAGAAGGGGGCAAUCAUCAAGACUGUCAAGUAUUUCUAGACACUAAACCAAGAUAAGAACUAAGAAGUGCUCAUUUGAUUUAGUGAUACAGAAAUUGCAGAUUUCCUUGGCAACAACAAUUUCAAUGGAAUUGUUAGCAGGAAGAAGCCAGACUGCAAUGGAUUGAGAGAUGUAUCCUUUUAUAAUCACUGCAAAAGAAAGAGAAGAGAAGGAUUAAAGAGAAUACAUGCACGGCACAAGGAAACUUCGUUAGCAGAUCUGAAACUAGGCUGUGCUCACUAUGUGCCACACAGCACCUAUGACGUGAAAGAGCAGUAGAUCAACACAACGUCCUGGUGGAAGUGGGAGUUUGAAGGCCAAUUAGACAGAACGAUUUUUUUUCUAAUGUGUCAAAAUAAUGCAAGUGGCUGUGCUAAAUAAAUUCAUGC
This is a long non-coding RNA of Equus caballus (horse), 930 nucleotides long. RefSeq lists it as uncharacterized. Lineage: Eukaryota; Metazoa; Chordata; Mammalia; Perissodactyla; Equidae. The record is from RefSeq and is a predicted model, not a curated record.